CGGCGAGUGAAGCGGCAACAGCUCAAAUUUGAAAUCUGGCCUCCUUGGGGGUCCGAGUUGUAAUUUGUAGAGGAUGCUUCGGCGUGGGCCCCGGUCUAAGUUCCUUGGAACAGGACGUCACAGAGGGUGAGAAUCCCGUACGUGGCCGUGGGUGCUCGCCAUGUGAAGCUCCUUCGACGAGUCGAGUUGUUUGGGAAUGCAGCUCUAAAUGGGAGGUAUAUUUCUUCUAAAGCUAAAUAUUGGCCAGAGACCGAUAGCGCACAAGUAGAGUGAUCGAAAGAUGAAAAGCACUUUGGAAAGAGAGUCAAAAAGUACGUGAAAUUGUUGAAAGGGAAGCGCUUGCAACCAGACCUGUCUGCAGUUGCUCAUCCGGGCUUCUGCCCGGUGCACUCUUCUGCAGUCAGGCCAGCAUCAGUUCUGGCGGUCGGAUAAAGGCGGUGGGAAUGUGGCUCCUCUCGGGGAGUGUUAUAGCCCAUCGUGCAAUGCGGCCAGCUGGGACUGAGGUCCGCGCUUCGGCUAGGAUGCUGGCGUAAUGGUUGUAAGCGGCCCGUCUUGAAACACGGACCAAGGAGUCUAACAUCUGUGCGAGUGUUUGGGUGUCAAGCCCAGGCGCGUAAUGAAAGUGAACGGAGGCGGGAACCUUCGGGUGCACCGUCGACCGAUCCUGAUGUCUUCGGAUGGAUUUGAGUAAGAGCAUAGCUGUUGGGACCCGAAAGAUGGUGAACUAUGCCUGAAUAGGGUGAAGCCAGAGGAAACUCUGGUGGAGGCUCGCAGCGGUUCUGACGUGCAAAUCGAUCGUCAAAUUUGGGCAUAGGGGCGAA
Molecule: ribosomal RNA, 821 nt
Filed under: Rhytidhysteron sichuanense
Lineage: Eukaryota; Fungi; Ascomycota; Dothideomycetes; Hysteriales; Hysteriaceae
Description: Rhytidhysteron sp. XX-2020b partial large subunit ribosomal RNA
Rfam family: Eukaryotic large subunit ribosomal RNA
Source: RNAcentral